This is a non-coding RNA of Phrynosoma platyrhinos (Desert horned lizard), 72 nucleotides long. Lineage: Eukaryota; Metazoa; Chordata; Lepidosauria; Squamata; Phrynosomatidae. The record is from the annotation of a GenBank genome assembly.
GUCAGUGCAGUGUAGUGGUUUCAGUGCUGGACUAGGACUCUGGAGGCUAGGGUUCGAAUCCUUUCAGUCAUG